GCGGGGGUGGCAGAGCUAGGUUAAAUGCGCGAGGCUCAAGACCUCGUGGGCGUAGGCCCUACGUGGGUUCGAAUCCCACCCCCCGCACCA
This 90-nucleotide transfer RNA is filed under the name Candidatus Bathyarchaeota archaeon. Its description in RNAcentral is "tRNA-Leu". It matches the Rfam family "tRNA". Rfam says of the family: Transfer RNA (tRNA) molecules are approximately 80 nucleotides in length. Their secondary structure includes four short double-helical elements and three loops (D, anti-codon, and T loops). Further hydrogen bonds mediate the characteristic L-shaped molecular structure. tRNAs have two regions of fundamental functional importance: the anti-codon, which is responsible for specific mRNA codon recognition, and the 3' end, to which the tRNAs corresponding amino acid is attached (by aminoacyl-tRNA synthetases). tRNAs cope with the degeneracy of the genetic code in two manners: having more than one tRNA (with a specific anti-codon) for a particular amino acid; and 'wobble' base-pairing, i.e. permitting non-standard base-pairing at the 3rd anti-codon position. The record is from RNAcentral. Lineage: Archaea; Thermoproteati; Candidatus Bathyarchaeota.